Molecule: ribosomal RNA, 465 nt
Filed under: uncultured bacterium
Lineage: Bacteria
Description: partial 16S ribosomal RNA
Rfam family: Bacterial small subunit ribosomal RNA
Source: RNAcentral
CCUACGGGUGGCAGCAGUAGGGAAUCUUCCACAAUGGGCGAAAGCCUGAUGGAGCAACGCCGCGUGGGCGAAGAAGGUCUUCGGAUCGUAAAACCCUGUUGUUAGAGAAGAAAGUGCGUGAGAGUAACUGUUCACGUUUUGACGGUAUCUAACCAGAAAGCGAUGGCUAACUACGUGCCAGCAGCCGCGGUAAUACGUAGGUGGCAAGCGUUAUCCGGAUUUAUUGGGCGUAAAGGGGACGCAGGCGGUCUUUUAAGUCUGAUGUGAAAGCCUUCGGCUUAACCGGAGUAGUGCAUUGGAAACUAGCAGACUAGAGUGCGGAAGAGGUGAGUGGAACUCCAUGUGAAGCGGUGAAAUGCGUAGAUAUAUGGAAGAACACCAGUGGCGAAGGCGGCUCACUGGUCUGUAACUGACGCUGAGGUUCGAAAGCGUGGGUAGCAAACAGGAUUAGAUACCCUUGUAGUC